UACGGAGGGUGCAAGCGUUAUCCGGAUUUACUGGGUUUAAAGGGUGCGUAGGUGGGCAGGUAAGUCAGUGGUGAAAUCUCCGGGCUUAACCCGGAAACUGCCAUUGAUACUAUCAGUCUUGAAUACCGUGGAGGUAAGCGGAAUAUGUCAUGUAGCGGUGAAAUGCUUAGAUAUGACAUAGAACACCAAUUGCGAAGGCAGCUUACUACCCGAAUAUUGACACUGAGGCACGAAAGCGUGGGGAUCAAACAGG
RNAcentral lists this ribosomal RNA (253 nucleotides) under uncultured bacterium. RNAcentral's name for it is "partial 16S ribosomal RNA". It matches the Rfam family "Bacterial small subunit ribosomal RNA", at positions 524 to 776 of the family's 1533-position model. The record is from RNAcentral.